Glycine soja is the source of this 542-nucleotide long non-coding RNA. RefSeq lists it as uncharacterized. The record is from RefSeq and is a predicted model, not a curated record. The transcript is spliced from 2 exons. NCBI's taxonomy places the organism in Eukaryota, Viridiplantae, Streptophyta, Magnoliopsida, Fabales, Fabaceae.
GAAAAAUUGAAAAAUCCAACCCAAGGGAGAGGACCAUCUUUAAAAUCAUUCAUGUUAGGCAUCCCUUUUCUUUUGAGUCCAGGAAUUGCAUAGAAAGAGGCAACAACUAAAAGACCGAGGCUCAUUAUCAGCUUGGAAUUCAAAAUUGAUUUCAAAGCCGAAAAUGGUUUGAACUUUAAGUGUUCAGACUAUGUAUUAUUAGUCUACACGGAGCAAUUUAAUUUUGACCGUUGGUUAUACCCCUACCAGUAAGUUUUGGAAAAUAAAUAUAGCAUACCAGAAGGUCAUUUAUGCAAGAGAGAAUUUCAUUGGGUCGGUCCAUUUAGGAGCAUAUGAACUUCAUCUUCGGGAGCAGAGACAUAAUUAUGCAAGACAGCUUAAUACUUGAAUUCUUCUCUAUUUUGGGCCUUGUGAAGCUGUCCUUUUGGACAACAUGAAUGUAAUCUUUUGUGUGAGCCAAAUUACCAAUUCCCAUUUCUUAAAGGCUCAGUUUGCUCCCACUGAUUAUUAUAUUAAUUUGGAUGUUCAUGUUUGCUGACUUA